UGUAUAUAUGCGUUGCGAGCCACGAUUCGGCAAUGAAGACAAAAAAAAAAAAAAAAAAGAGAAAAGACGAAUAGAAAGAAAAGGAACGAAAAACUGAAAAUGGCGCACGGCCAUGACUGUACAGCAUAGUAGUAGUAUAGUAUCCUCGACGACGAGAGCUGUGCACGGCUAAAGGGUUGAACGUCCUGCUAACCCACUUUCUCCUCUUGUGCACAGACACGUUGGAUGCACUCAGCUGUUUUAUUUUGUAUCUGUUUUAGAAUAAGAAUGGCGAAAUGUUUGAGUCGAAAAAAAAAAAAAGACAAACAGCUUCACAGAAACAACGAAUGGAAGGUAUUUGAUGAAUGUGUAUGUGUGGCGCAGAACUGAUUGUGUAUCGAAACAAGCGAUCCGAAAAAUCAUGGCCGCCGACCUCCAUUGCUUUUAUUUUGUACGUUGCCUUUUUUUUUUUUUUUGCUGUGUUUUCGAUGCCAUAAUUCCGGUUUGUCCAGUUUUCUUUCGUUUUGCUUUAUAUUUAUGGUCAUCAACGGGACCUUCUCGACAGAUAAGAAUUCAAGAGAAAUAUUAUACGUUUUCUAGGACACACUAACACACACACAAUGGAUGUUGAUUCUCGGUUGUCUUCACCACGAGGUUGGACAUUUUGUUUGCAAAUCUUCAUUUCGUCAGAAAAUCAUUGGUAUUACAGUCAGUUGAUAUAUUUCGAUUAACUCCGUCGUCUUUACUUGUGAUCUUGCAUUUCAGUUUUAUUUAGCCAAACGGACGCCUUUUCGUUUUCAUUUAUUUUUUUUUUUGCAGCAACACCAUAAAUGAGGAUUGACUGUGAAAUCCUUUUAAUGAACUUUGUUCGUCUAGGUUAAUGGAACAAAGUUCGCCAUUCCAAAAUCGACAUUUCCAGUUUGGUGCCCCAAAUGGUCCGCUUAUUCAUCCAACAUUGCCCGGUUUUUUUUUUUUUUUUUUUUCAUGACAUAGACUCUGAAGAUUCGGGUUUCUCUCUGAACCCCACGCUUUACAGUCUUUUUUUUCUUUUUUCACGCAACCGGAUUCUCAUCGAAUGGCAGCAGGCAAACACCCAUGAACGUCGUCCGACCUACUUCUCCCAUUUUGCCCACCUAUCUCCCUACAUCUGAUUUAGACACACGGUAUCCAGAGAACCAGUUUUAUUUUUUACAGCACACAAAAGACACUCAUUUCCAUAUCAUCUCCACGAUAUCGAAUUUUUUAAAAAUAGUGUCUGCCUUUUGUUCUAAAUGUUGAAAUGUUUUUUAAACAUUCAAAUGCCUCUUUUAUUUCAACCAUUUUCAGUAGGUUGUUUCUUGGUGAUUCGCUGCAGAUGUGGCCAUGGACGAAACUGGCCUUGAUUCAGCACAUCGUCCGCCAGUUUAAUUAUUUUUUUUUUUUCACUUACGACCUUUUUCAUCAUUUCUAGAUCAUUCAGAGAAGAAAAAUGGUCAAUGUUUUACACCAAAUACUUUCAAGGACUGGACACAACCCAAACAACCACAUAAAUAACUAUUGAAAAAAACAACUAUUAUUCAAUUCUGAUCCACCAUUUUUCGAGGUAAAUCAAGGUCUUAAAUGAUUAAUCUUUCCCUUUUUUCUUUUUUCACCAUAAUAAUAGAAAAUGCAUACAAACCCGGAAGAUUUCUCUCGCCCCCUCGAGUGUCAGUGCAAUCCCGGCCUGUACACAAUUGUGUUCAAAUUCCGUGGAAGUUGCCAUCGUGUGGAAAGCGUUAAGCGGAUAGAAAUUGUACGUAUCAGGCUGGUGUUGGCUUGGCUAAACACUUUCUACAGCAAUGGAUUCCUACCGGAAUCCGUCGAGGUCGCUGUCCUUUUGCAGCUUUAUAUAGACUCUAUACGUCGGUUGGUGCUAACAGUCUAUUGCCACUUUGGAUAUCUAGGAAUUCAGCAUAGAAAAUAACCUUGGUGAGAGGAAACGAUGAAUAGAUAAAAGACGUCCUUAACUUCAGAAGAAAUCGAUCCUCGGCAAAAAGCACUAGGAGCAUGCGAAUUCAAUCAUGAAUAAUGAAUAACAUACGGUAGUCAUCAACAUACCCAAGGUCUUUUUCGUUCAUGUGAACCUAGCAAAUAAUAUUAAUAAGAUAUCAAUCGGCCAUGAAUCGAAGCCUUUGAUGACCGGUAGAAAAGAUACGAAGCUUAAAAAAAAAAAAUUAAGAAGAAGAAGAAAAAUGGGGGGGCCGUCUUCCCAUUUCCGUCAUGACCUCUCUCAUCGAGUCAAGUGUGUCAACAGACCGUCCCGGUGUCCGUCUCUCUUUCUGUUUGAUGAUAAUCAAAGCCAUUCCUCCAUGGCUUUGACGUUUGGAAAAAGAAAGAAAUUUUUUUUUUUUUUUUUCACGAACCGUUCGGAAAAGACACAAACGCCAUCUAGAAACGAGAAACUAAACAAAAAAGAAAUGUUGUAUUCAGUCAAACAUCAAUCAAUUGUAUGUUAUGAAAACAAAUAUUUAAAAAAAGAUACUUGUUAUGUGUAAUUAUCAAGCGAGAUAAAGUUAUUGAUCGCCAUAAAAGCAGCUUCUAAGGGAAGGCAUGAAAA
Long non-coding RNA from Daphnia carinata, 2554 nucleotides. RefSeq lists it as uncharacterized. NCBI's taxonomy places the organism in Eukaryota, Metazoa, Arthropoda, Branchiopoda, Diplostraca, Daphniidae. The record is from RefSeq and is a predicted model, not a curated record. The transcript has 3 exons.